ACCUUAUCGAGAGUCGGGGGAGGAAUCUGGUCCCAAGAUCCCGCAGCAACCGUUACGGAUGUAACAAGGUGCUCAUUCCAGCAGGCGCAUGCUUGAAAGAUGAGGG
This 106-nucleotide non-coding RNA is filed under the name Bhargavaea cecembensis. RNAcentral's name for it is "SAM-I sequence". It matches the Rfam family "SAM riboswitch aptamer (S box leader)". Rfam says of the family: The SAM riboswitch is found upstream of a number of genes which code for proteins involved in methionine or cysteine biosynthesis in Gram-positive bacteria. The SAM riboswitch acts at the level of transcription termination control. The predicted structure consists of a complex stem-loop region followed by a single stem loop terminator region. The record is from RNAcentral. Lineage: Bacteria; Bacillati; Bacillota; Bacilli; Caryophanales; Caryophanaceae. RNAcentral also lists the same sequence under 1 other name.